This 105-nucleotide ribosomal RNA is filed under the name uncultured eukaryote. Its description in RNAcentral is "partial 16S ribosomal RNA". It matches the Rfam family "Bacterial small subunit ribosomal RNA", at positions 350 to 454 of the family's 1533-position model. The record is from RNAcentral.
AGCAGUAGGGGAUUUUCCGCAAUGGGCGAAAGCCUGACGGAGCAAUCUCGCGUGAGGGAUGACGGCCUUUGGGUUGUAAACCUCUUUUUUCAGGGAGGAAUACCU